CCCUUAGAUGUCCUGGGCCGCACGCGUGCUACACUGACGCCUACAGCGAGUACUUCCCAGCCCCGAGAGGUGGCUGGUAAUCAGCAAUAGGCGUCGUGAUGGGGAUAGAUCUUUGGAAUUAUGGAUCUUGAACGAGGAAUGCCUAGUAAGCGCAGGUCAUUAGCCUGCGUUGAUUAAGUCCCUGCCCUUUGUACACACCGCCCGUCGCUCCUACCGAUUUCGAGUGGUCCGGUGAAUCUUUCGGACUGCGCGCGGCUUCGUGCCGUGUCGCGGAAAGUCAGGUAAACCUUAUCACUUAGAGGAAGGAGAAGUCGUNACA
RNAcentral lists this ribosomal RNA (319 nucleotides) under uncultured eukaryote. RNAcentral's name for it is "partial 18S ribosomal RNA". It matches the Rfam family "Eukaryotic small subunit ribosomal RNA", at positions 1470 to 1796 of the family's 1831-position model. The record is from RNAcentral.